AAAAAGAUAAGCUAAAUAAGCUUCCGGGUUCAUACCCCGGCGAUAGUGACUUCCACUUCUUUUUA
Molecule: transfer RNA, 65 nt
Filed under: Octomeris sp. BKKC-2014
Lineage: Eukaryota; Metazoa; Arthropoda; Thecostraca; Balanomorpha; Chthamalidae
Description: tRNA-Met
Source: RNAcentral